Molecule: ribosomal RNA, 465 nt
Filed under: Vreelandella stevensii
Lineage: Bacteria; Pseudomonadati; Pseudomonadota; Gammaproteobacteria; Oceanospirillales; Halomonadaceae
Description: partial 16S ribosomal RNA
Rfam family: Bacterial small subunit ribosomal RNA
Source: RNAcentral
CCUACGGGUGGUAGCAGUGGGGAAUAUUGGACAAUGGGGGGAACCCUGAUCCAGCCAUGCCGCGUGUGUGAAGAAGGCCCUCGGGUUGUAAAGCACUUUCAGUGAGGAAGAACGCCUGGUGGUUAAUACCCAUCAGGAAAGACAUCACUCACAGAAGAAGCACCGGCUAACUCCGUGCCAGCAGCCGCGGUAAUACGGAGGGUGCGAGCGUUAAUCGGAAUUACUGGGCGUAAAGCGCGCGUAGGUGGCUUGAUAAGCCGGUUGUGAAAGCCCCGGGCUCAACCUGGGAACGGCAUCCGGAACUGUCAAGCUAGAGUGCAGGAGAGGAAGGUAGAAUUCCCGGUGUAGCGGUGAAAUGCGUAGAGAUCGGGAGGAAUACCAGUGGCGAAGGCGGCCUUCUGGACUGACACUGACACUGAGGUGCGAAAGCGUGGGUAGCAAACAGGAUUAGAUACCCUAGUAGUC